This is a long non-coding RNA of Acipenser ruthenus (sterlet), 1870 nucleotides long. RefSeq lists it as uncharacterized. Lineage: Eukaryota; Metazoa; Chordata; Actinopteri; Acipenseriformes; Acipenseridae. The record is from RefSeq and is a predicted model, not a curated record. The transcript has 5 exons.
AAUGGAAAAUUACCUAUAUGGUAACAAUAUCCUGGGAGACAGUCAACAUGGUUUUAGGAAAGGGGAAUUGUGUCUAACUAACCUGCUUGACUUUUUUGAGGAUGCAACAUUGACAAUGGAUAAUUGCAAAGCAUACAACAUGGUUUAUUUAGAUUUCCAAAAAGCUUUUGACAAAGUCCCGCAUAAAAGAUUAAUUCUCAAACUGAACGCAGUAGGGAUUCAAGGAAAUGCAUGCUCAUGGAUUAGGGAGUGGUUAACAUGUAGAAAACAGAAAGUACUGAUUAGAGGAGAAACCUCAAAAUGGAGCGAGGUAACCAGUGGAGUACCACAGGGAUCAGUAUUAGGUCCUCUGCUAUUCCUAAUCUACAUUAAUGAUUUAGAUUCUGGUAUAGUAAGCAAACUUGUUAAAUUUGCAGACGACACAAAAACAGGAGGAGUGGCAAACACUGUUGCAACAGCAAAGAUUAUUCAAAUGAUCUAGACAACAUUCAGAACUGGGCAGACACAUGGCAAAUGACAUUUAAUAGAGAAAAGUGUAAAGUAUUGCAUGCAGACAAUAAAAAUGUGCAUUAUAAAUAUCAUAUGGGAGAUAGUGAAAUUGAAGAAGGGAACUAUGAAAAAGACCUAGGAGUUUAUGUUGACUCAGAAAUGUCUUCAUCUAGACAAUGUGGAGAAGCUAUAAAAAAGGCCAACAAGAUGCUCGGGUAUAUUGUAUAUAAAUAUAUUUCUCAUAAAAACUCUGGAGGCACGACAGGAGAUGUGGUCGUUUCUUCCUUAUCUAAUUCAUGAAAUGAUUCAGCAAAAUGUGUUGCAAGGACUUCAUACAAGCACAUCAAUUCUGUUUUUGAAAGAUAACACGAUAGAAGGUUACAAAACCAGUAGUUUAACUUUUGUAUUGCCAGUUCUGUAACAAACAAAACAGUGUCAACUGUUUUAAUCAGUGUACUUGCUCAGCUUAACGACAGGUUGUAAAUGAUGAGAUAGUUAACAUUUCCUGAAACUACCACGUCUCCUGUUGUCGUGCCUCCAGAGUUUUUAUGAGAAAUAUAUUUAUCUACUAAUGUUGAUUUAUUUGAUCUCCUGGAGUUCUGUAUUGCACAUAGAUAAUACACUGAAUAUGUACUUACAGGCAGAAGUUAUUAGAAGAAUGUAUAACCAAUAUAAGUUCCAUCAUUUCUUUUCAGUAUGCUUUGGUUUUGGUUGUGGAUUAGUAAGCUACAGGCCUUAUUACUGUAAGUAACCUUAAUAGUGCUUUAUGGUUUAAUAAAGUCUCACAGCGUUGCCACAUACUUAAUUUCCAAACUAACAUAAAAGCAAUAGACUUCAGGAUGAAGGAAUUUUGGUUAUUUUUAGGUUAACCUUACUAUUGUUGAAAAGUAAAAUAAACAUGAGGCAGGAUUAGAGUUUGAUGUUUUGUUUUUAGCACCUGUAUAGCAGAAUCUUAUUCCAGAAGUGAUGACAACAUUUGUGUUUUUCAGCCCUUACUAUGCUUAUAGUCCUGACUGUGUUUUUCACUUUGGUCUUUGAAUUGGUUGGUGUGUCCUUUGGACUUCCAGCCCACACGACAAGAUGCAAAGGAAAACCAUAUAACAGAAGUGAUGCAUAUUUUGGGUUAUGUAUUGCCCUUGGUGUUGCACUUCUUAACCUUGAUACAAAUUAUGGUAAGUGGUACAUGUUCUCUUGUUUCUUUGUCAAAUUUUGAGUCAGUGAGUUUCAUGCAAUUAUCUCUGAAGCAUGUACACUGAAAAGCUGAGUAAAUCAGAACGGUCAAAUCCGUUAGGUUUGGGUAAGCCCUGCUGUGUGGCUAGUUUAAAUUUAUAAAUAUUGUUUCUGGAUACAUACAGUGUAGUUUAAAAAAACAAAUAUAACA